AAUGGGUGAAAGCCUGAUCCAGCAAUGCCGCGUGAGUGAUGAAGGCCUUAGGGUUGUAAAGCUCUUUUACCAGGGAUGAUAAUGACAGUACCUGGAGAAUAAGCUCCGGCUAACUCCGUGCCAGCAGCCGCGGUAAUACGGAGGGAGCUAGCGUUGUUCGGAAUUACUGGGCGUAAAGCGCACGUAGGCGGCUUUUCAAGUCAGGGGUGAAAUCCCGGGGCUCAACCCCGGAACUGCCCUUGAAACUGGAUGGCUAGAAUACUGGAGAGGUGAGUGGAAUUCCGAGUGUAGAGGUGAAAUUCGUAGAUAUUCGGAAGAACACCAGUGGCGAAGGCGACUCACUGGACAGUUAUUGACGCUGAGGUGCGAAAGCGUGGGGAGCAAACAGGAUU
RNAcentral lists this ribosomal RNA (392 nucleotides) under uncultured Gammaproteobacteria bacterium. Its description in RNAcentral is "bacterial SSU rRNA". It matches the Rfam family "Bacterial small subunit ribosomal RNA", at positions 370 to 779 of the family's 1533-position model. Lineage: Bacteria; Pseudomonadati; Pseudomonadota; Gammaproteobacteria. The record is from RNAcentral.